CUUUCUUUGCUGGCGACCGGCGCACGGGUGAGUAACACGUAUCCAACCUGCCCUUUACUCGGGGAUAGCCUUUCGAAAGAAAGAUUAUACCCGAUAGCAUAAUGAUUCCGCAUGGUUUCAUUAUUAAAGGAUUCCGGUAAAGGAUGGGGAUGCGUUCCAUUAGGUUGUUGGUGGGGUAACGGCCCACCAAGCCUUCGAUGGAUAGGGGUUCUGAGAGGAAGGUCCCCCACAUUGGAACUGAGACACGGUCCAA
This 253-nucleotide ribosomal RNA is filed under the name uncultured bacterium. Its description in RNAcentral is "partial 16S ribosomal RNA". It matches the Rfam family "Bacterial small subunit ribosomal RNA", at positions 79 to 334 of the family's 1533-position model. The record is from RNAcentral.